Molecule: ribosomal RNA, 468 nt
Filed under: uncultured bacterium
Lineage: Bacteria
Description: partial 16S ribosomal RNA
Rfam family: Bacterial small subunit ribosomal RNA
Source: RNAcentral
GACGAACGCUGGCGGCGUGCUUAACACAUGCAAGUCGAACGGAAAGGCCCUGCUUUUGUGGGGUGCUCGAGUGGCGAACGGGUGAGUAACACGUGAGUAACCUGCCCUUGACUUUGGGAUAACUUCAGGAAACUAGGGCUAAUACCGGAUAGGAGCUCCUGCCGCAUGGUGGGGGUUGGAAAGUUUCGGCGGUUGGGGAUGGACUCGCGGCUUAUCAGCUUGUUGGUGGGGUAGUGGCUUACCAAGGCUUUGACGGGUAGCCGGCCUGAGAGGGUGACCGGCCACAUUGGGACUGAGAUACGGCCCAGACUCCUACGGGAGGCAGCAGUGGGGAAUAUUGCACAAUGGGCGGAAGCCUGAUGCAGCAACGCCGCGUGCGGGAUGACGGCCUUCGGGUUGUAAACCGCUUUCGCCUGUGACGAAGCGUGAGUGACGGUAAUGGGUAAAGAAGCACCGGCUAACUACGUG